CCUCAGUCUCGCAGGCAGGAGUGCUGUGGUGAGAUCACAGAUCAUUGGAGCCUUGAAUCUUGGGGUUCAAGUAGCUGGGAGGCUGAGGUUGGACUACAGAGGUGGGGUUGCGCCAUAUUGCUAGGCUGCUCUUGGCCUGAAGGGAUCCUCCUUCCUGGCCACGCCCGGACACAUAGUUUUCCAUUUUUGACCGACAUAAAUACUGUGCUGGGUGGGAGUUUGUCAACUACCCCUUUCCAGCCAGCAACACACAGGAACUGGCGGGGAGGUCGCGGUUACCAGGCUCCACUCUGAGAAGACUGCCCAGCUCCAGGCACUGUACAGCCCUUGUGACGUGACAGAAGGCCCGCCCCUGUGACGUCACCGAAGGCGCCCCCCAAGAUGUCGCAAAGGCCCGCCCCUCACGCAGAGCCAAUCGGAACUCCAGGUGCUGGGUCUUCCAGGAGAGCGCCUGCGCGGGAGGGUGACCACAGGCGGCCGGGCGGGAUGUCCUGUCCGCCGUCUUCAGCCCAGCCGCCACCACCCAUAAGCUAUGAGGAGGAGUUUACGACCACCUGGACUACUACCACCUGCGUGACUUCCCGGCCUGAGGGGUCCGCGCAGCAAAGGCCUGACGCUGCUGGAGCAGGCGCUGCGCACCUACCGGCUGGCGCCUGGUAGGCACGAGUGCAGGGUCGCCCAGAAGCUCCUCAAUGGCCGGCGCAAGUGCCAGCCAGCGCCAGCUGCAGCCCUGGCCGCGCACUCGCCUCAGCUGAGCCUGGGUCAGAGAUAUGAGACAAUCUGCAAAGAGGAAGCCAUGCCCUUGGCAUAGAAGCCGCUUGUUCCUGGGAUAAAGAGGUGGAUUUGGAAGAGUAGGCCAAAGUUGGACAAUAAGCCAAGGGGGGAAACUGUUGAAGAGAGUCAAGAGGCUGAGGCCUUGAGCCUGCAUUUUGGGUGGCACCCAAAGAUGACAAAAGGAGAAACAUGUCAUAAACUAGGCUUCAAAUGGCGCUUUGGCAGAAAGUUGUUUUGCUGCCCAAACUGGCAUUUAAUAUUGGUUGAAAUGAAUAAGACAUGCCAGCCAUCAACUUUUUACCAUGUAAUUAACCAGCUCUGAAUAAGGACAUGUCUUUUUACUUUAGUGCUCUUUUGAAAAUGGGUAAUAAACAAAAUAUUCAAAAGUCACAAAAUAGUAUGGACCGUGAGAACAUUGUGCUAAGUGAAACAAACCAGUUACAAAAGGACAAACACUAUAUGAUUCCACUUGCAUGAGCUAUCUAGAGUA
RNAcentral lists this long non-coding RNA (1264 nucleotides) under Homo sapiens (human). Its description in RNAcentral is "non-protein coding lnc-ERV3-1-1:3". The record is from RNAcentral. Lineage: Eukaryota; Metazoa; Chordata; Mammalia; Primates; Hominidae.